Molecule: transfer RNA, 73 nt
Filed under: Cavia porcellus (domestic guinea pig)
Lineage: Eukaryota; Metazoa; Chordata; Mammalia; Rodentia; Caviidae
Rfam family: tRNA
About the family: Transfer RNA (tRNA) molecules are approximately 80 nucleotides in length. Their secondary structure includes four short double-helical elements and three loops (D, anti-codon, and T loops). Further hydrogen bonds mediate the characteristic L-shaped molecular structure. tRNAs have two regions of fundamental functional importance: the anti-codon, which is responsible for specific mRNA codon recognition, and the 3' end, to which the tRNAs corresponding amino acid is attached (by aminoacyl-tRNA synthetases). tRNAs cope with the degeneracy of the genetic code in two manners: having more than one tRNA (with a specific anti-codon) for a particular amino acid; and 'wobble' base-pairing, i.e. permitting non-standard base-pairing at the 3rd anti-codon position.
Source: Rfam by way of RNAcentral
AGGGAUGUGGCUCAGUGAUAAGAGUUUUUGUCUUGCACGCACAAGGCCCUGGGUUCAAUCUCCGGCACCAUUC